Molecule: long non-coding RNA, 1340 nt
Filed under: Homo sapiens (human)
Lineage: Eukaryota; Metazoa; Chordata; Mammalia; Primates; Hominidae
Description: PREDICTED lncRNA (TCONS_00112498)
Source: RNAcentral
CCGAAUCCUCAUGGUCUGUGGCUAUUUAAGGGCAUGACGGCUUUGGCUCCAAGCUCCCAAUGGAAACAUAUUUGCUGGAAAAUGCAAUGCCAGCACUAGUGACUCAUUUAUUGACUUCCGUCUUUCUCCCUACCCCAGAGAAUGGGCGUAUUAGGCAAGCCUUGCUUGUCAGCUUGUGUUGGAACCCCAAGGGAGCCACGAGAAUAACAACCCAGCCACACUAGCUCCAGAGAGAUUGACGGAUUCAUUGAAUAUCAACAGGAAGAAACGGUGGGAAAAGAAUGACAUCACGUUGACAAGCGCCCAUGUCCCCUCGCCCCUGAGUCCAGCUGGUGAAGCACCAUGCUUUGGCUUUCCCUCCCGCGGAGCGGUGCCGUCCUCCCUGGGUCUGGUCGGAUCUUCGGGAAGCUGGAUCCAGGAAAGCAUUCCAGGAGGUAGGGCCCUGGGGCUGGUGGACUGUGGGUCUUGGUCCCUCACAGAAUGACUCAGGGGAUCUUAGCCGGGCUCGAACUCUCCUCUCUGGCCAUUAUGGAAUUUUCAGGCCCAUCAUUGGCCAGAGACCUAAAUUCAGUUCAAAGUCAGAGAAAGUUUCUCUUUGGCUGAAGGACAAGAAGAGGGGAGGCUCUGGGUGCCAUGCUAGGGACCAGAGGGUCCCCUCUCCUUUAUCCACUGCUGACAGUCAGUACUCCCUAUUAGAACCAAGAGCAGGUUGGAGGCGUCCUCAUGGGUGUUCAAAGGGCAACAUGCCGAACAUGUGUGGUGUGUUUGCUUGUGGGCAGGUGGGGGCGGGAGCACAUCUCACAUGGGAAGGUCCCUUUGGUGUGAGGGUCCCUCAACCAUACAGCACAAAGUGACCACAUUCAAGGGCCUCAUCGCCGUGGGUGAAGCCUGUGAGGAGACAGAACCACUUCCCUAGGACAGUUUUCAUUAGUAACAUGAUUUCAACAUCACCGAAAAGGGAGGGUGCCAUUUCCUGCGAUGGUUUUCGUUACUGCCCUCCCCACCUGGAGGUGGUUCUUGAGGCCUGACAGGCUCUUUUGGGGAGGAGACCCAAGCUGUCAUGCUGAGGAGGCUCCCAAGCUGCAGCCCCUCGGAGGUGGGGGAAUAGGCAGGGAGCUUGGGGAGCUAGGAGGAGGAAGAGGUGGGAGGGGGAGGACAAGCACCGGGCCGGGCCAGGGAGGUUCCCAUUGCCUCCUCAGCCCUGUGGACUCAGAGCCAUGUCCUCCCUGGGGACAGGGUCCAUCCAGCCCCUCAUGCCCUAGAACCAGGAACUCAUCCCAGAAUCACCCUCCUUGUGUGUGGGAUCAGAGAGGUUUCCUAUGAACAUAAGUCAUUAAAAC